RNAcentral lists this ribosomal RNA (465 nucleotides) under uncultured bacterium. RNAcentral's name for it is "partial 16S ribosomal RNA". It matches the Rfam family "Bacterial small subunit ribosomal RNA", at positions 338 to 795 of the family's 1533-position model. The record is from RNAcentral.
CCUACGGGUGGCAGCAGUAGGGAAUCUUCCACAAUGGGCGAAAGCCUGAUGGAGCAACGCCGCGUGAGUGAAGAAGGUCUUCGGAUCGUAAAACCCUGUUGUUAGAGAAGAAAGGGCGUGAGAGUAACUGUUAACGUUUCGACGGGAUCUAACCGGAAAGCCACGGCUAACUACGUGCCAGACGCCGCGGUAAUACGUAGGUGGCAAGCGUUAUUCGGAUUUAUUGGGAGUAAAGGGAAGGCAGGCGGUCGUUUAAGUCUGAUGUGAAAGCCUUCGGCUUAACCGGAGUAGUGCAUUGGAAACUGGGAGACUUGAGUGCAGAAGAGGAGAGCGGAACUCGAUGUGUAGCGGUGAAAUGCGUAGAUAUAUGGAAGAACACCAGUGGCGAAAGCGGCUCUCUGGUCUGUAACUGACGCUGAGGUUCGAAAGCGUGGGUAGCAAACAGGAUUAGAUACCCGAGUAGUC